UGGAAGGUCCCCCACACUGGCACUGAGAUACGGGCCAGACUCCUACGGGAGGCAGCAGUAGGGAAUAUUGGUCAAUGGGCGCAAGCCUGAACCAGCCAUGCCGCGUGCAGGAUGAAGGCUCUCUGAGUUGUAAACUGCUUUUGUACAGGAGCAAAAAAAUCCCUGCGGGGGUUCUUGAGAGUACUGUAAGAAUAAGCACCGGCUAAUUCCGUGCCAGCAGCCGCGGUAAUACGGGAGGUGCAAGCGUUAUCCGGUUUUAUUGGGUUUAAAGGGUGCGUAGGCGGCUUAUUAAGUCAGUUGUGAAAUCCUAGUGCUUAACGCUAGAACU
RNAcentral lists this ribosomal RNA (328 nucleotides) under Cardinium endosymbiont of Bemisia tabaci. Its description in RNAcentral is "bacterial SSU rRNA". It matches the Rfam family "Bacterial small subunit ribosomal RNA", at positions 297 to 622 of the family's 1533-position model. Lineage: Bacteria; Pseudomonadati; Bacteroidota; Cytophagia; Cytophagales; Amoebophilaceae. The record is from RNAcentral.